Lolium perenne is the source of this 472-nucleotide long non-coding RNA. RefSeq lists it as uncharacterized. The record is from RefSeq and is a predicted model, not a curated record. Lineage: Eukaryota; Viridiplantae; Streptophyta; Magnoliopsida; Poales; Poaceae.
ACGCCGUUCAGGUCUGCCGGAGCGGCACGUCGACAUGCACACGCGCGAGCGAGUGUGCUGUGCAUCGCACUGUCGCGGCGCGACGGACAACUCCUCAUCAGAGCCAGCAGCAAAGGAACGCUCGCGCGUCUCUUCAGCACCGUUGACGCCUCCUAGCUUCAAGAGGUGUUCUGCUCAAAGUAGCUAGCACUGCAAGUGUUUCAAAGGAUGGACUCGGACAGUGAGACCUGAUCCUCACUUUCGACGUGUAGAGAAGCAGCUUGCAGGCAAGAAUUUUCGCUCGUAAGCAGCCCCAGCCCAGGCAAUUCUUGUGAGUUGUGACAACGUGAGGAAUACUCUUGGUAUGUACCGGAUCAACACAAUCAUUGAUAGUGUGUUGUUGGUGUGAUUCAACGAGGAGGUGCUCACAGCUUCUAUGCAAACACGAUAUAUCAUGCUUGGCAAUAUCCAUCAGAUGGGGCCUAUUCUACAA